Molecule: ribosomal RNA, 433 nt
Filed under: uncultured bacterium
Lineage: Bacteria
Description: partial 16S ribosomal RNA
Rfam family: Bacterial small subunit ribosomal RNA
Source: RNAcentral
AACGAACGCUGGCGGCAGGCCUAACACAUGCAAGUCGAGCGAGGCCUUCGGACGUAGCGGCGGAUGGGUGUGUAACGCGUCGGACGGUGGCGUUUUCCUUGGAAUUGUACUGGUUCACUGGGGGUAACACAGGAUGAGUUCCUCGGAGGCAAGAUUUAUCGUAGAAGGAUCGGCCCGCGUUGGUCUAGGUAGUUGGUGGUGUAAUGGCCUACCAAGCAGACGAUCCAUAGCUGGUUAGAGAGGAUGAGCAGCCACACUGGGAGGGAGACACGGCCCAGACUCCUACGGGAAGCAGCGGUAGGGAGUCUUAGACAAUGGGCGAAGCCCUGAUCGAGCCAGGCCGCGAGAGCGAUGAAGGCCUUAAGGAUAUAAAGCACUUUCAGCUGCGAAGAUAAUGACGGUACCAACAGAAGAAGCCCCGGCUAACUCCGUG